Molecule: ribosomal RNA, 465 nt
Filed under: uncultured bacterium
Lineage: Bacteria
Description: partial 16S ribosomal RNA
Rfam family: Bacterial small subunit ribosomal RNA
Source: RNAcentral
GAAGAAAGAGGGGGGCGUGCUUAACACAUGCAAGUCGAACGGAAAGGCCCUGCUUGCAGGGUACUCGAGUGGCGAACGGGUGAGUAACACGUGGGUGAUCUGCCCUGCACUUCGGGAUAAGCCUGGGAAACUGGGUCUAAUACCGGAUAGGAGCCAUUUUUAGUGUGAUGGUUGGAAAGUUUUUUCGGUGUAGGAUGAGCUCGCGGCCUAUCAGCUUGUUGGUGGGGUAAUGGCCUACCAAGGCGGCGACGGGUAGCCGGCCUGAGAGGGUGGACGGCCACAUUGGGACUGAGAUACGGCCCAGACUCCUACGGGAGGCAGCAGUGGGGAAUAUUGCACAAUGGGCGCAAGCCUGAUGCAGCGACGCCGCGUGGGGGAUGACGGCCUUCGGGUUGUAAACUCCUUUCGCUAGGGACGAAGCUUUUUGUGACGGUACCUAGAUAAGAAGCACCGGCUAACUACGUG